AAAACGAAUCAAAACUUUCAACAACGGAUCUCUUGGUUCUGGCAUCGAUGAAGAACGCAGCGAAAUGCGAUAAGUAAUGUGAAUUGCAGAAUUCAGUGAACCAUCGAAUCUUUGAACGCACAUUGCGCCCGCCAGCACUCUGGCGGGCAUGCCUGCCCGAGCGUCAUUUCGACCCUC
This 177-nucleotide ribosomal RNA is filed under the name Ophiocordyceps cantharelloides. RNAcentral's name for it is "5.8S ribosomal RNA". The stretch from base 13 to 166 matches the Rfam family "5.8S ribosomal RNA". From Rfam's summary of the family: 5.8S ribosomal RNA (5.8S rRNA) is a component of the large subunit of the eukaryotic ribosome. It is transcribed by RNA polymerase I as part of the 45S precursor that also contains 18S and 28S rRNA. The record is from RNAcentral. Lineage: Eukaryota; Fungi; Ascomycota; Sordariomycetes; Hypocreales; Ophiocordycipitaceae.